UACGGAGGAUGCAAGCGUUAUCCGGAAUGAUUGGGCGUAAAGCGUCUGUAGGUGGUUUAUUAAGUCUACUGUUAAAGAUCAGGGCUUAACCCUGAGCCGGCAGUGGAAACUAAUAAGCUUGAGUACGGUAGGGGCAGAGGGAAGUUCCCGGAUGUAGCGGUGGAAAUGACGUAGAGAUGUGGAGGAACACCGAUGGCGAAGGCAGCCCCUGGGUUAACACCUGACGCUCAGGCACGAAAGCGUGGGGAGCAA
RNAcentral lists this ribosomal RNA (252 nucleotides) under uncultured bacterium. Its description in RNAcentral is "partial 16S ribosomal RNA". It matches the Rfam family "Bacterial small subunit ribosomal RNA", at positions 524 to 771 of the family's 1533-position model. The record is from RNAcentral.